GUUUUAAUAAUUUAAAUAAAAUAUUGGUCUUGUAAACCAAAUUUAAGGUUCCCUUUUAAAACU
This 63-nucleotide transfer RNA is filed under the name Hydrophilidae sp. BMNH 1274306. RNAcentral's name for it is "tRNA-Thr". It matches the Rfam family "tRNA". Rfam says of the family: Transfer RNA (tRNA) molecules are approximately 80 nucleotides in length. Their secondary structure includes four short double-helical elements and three loops (D, anti-codon, and T loops). Lineage: Eukaryota; Metazoa; Arthropoda; Insecta; Coleoptera; Hydrophilidae. The record is from RNAcentral.